CCGACCGGUACCCGUCCUACCUGAAACACCCUCAAAUUUUAUUCGAGGUAAACUCUCCCAAAUUCGAGGUGAACUCUCUCAAAUUCUCUAUCGGUGAAUACAUGUGAGUGGAGAAAAAAAAGCAAAAUGGGGGAUUGGGCUAAAAAGAAACUUAUGGAAUUUUUGUGACCCGUCAAAAAUGACAAUCAAUUUUGCAAAACAAAACAAUGGGUUUCGGAUUUUAAGAGUAAGUUUUUGUUAAUUGUUUUGAUUUUUAAUAUAAUUUGAUAUUUUUCAGACCAAAAUUCUUUAUAAUGAAGAGGGUAUAUACAAGUUCACUUCAUUGAAUAAAAAGUAAGUCAAAUUGCAGUGAAGGAGGUGCAACAAUAAUGGAUUUAUUUUAUAGUCUGUCUUUUCAUUUUUGAUAUUGCUAAAAUGCAGGAAGCAAUUUCCUUUAUGUAAUUUGGAAAGCAUACCAAACAAGGCGCUGAUUUGCUGAUGCUGCCCAUUGUUUUUGUAUGUACUUCUCAAUGGCAAGAGCUGCCGCAGGCGUUGACGGCGGAGGUGACACCAUCAAAACCAUUAGAAACAACACCAUCAAGUCAAUGAUGCAAGUGGAAGUUUUGCCAUGUAAUAGUCGACCGCUGACGCCCUUCUCCAUCAAUUGUGUAAGUACGUAUCGAAACAUUCAUAUCGUAGUCAACUAGCUUAAUCUUCAUCUUCUAGGUGUAAAGAGUUUACUACCAGUCUGCAGUUCUGCAAGAGACGCAAGAAAAACAAGAAUAUAAUCGCAGGAAUACUCAAAAAUUGUCCAACCUUGACUGUAAGAGAGUUCAAAUUUUAAAUCUACAACGAAUCCAUUUAUUUUGCUCCUAAGAAUCGCACUGGCUUAACGAAGGCAAAUGAGCUGGCCCGACAAGAAUCCCCAAGAAGCCAAACAGAUUCAGAUCAGUCUCUCGGCAGCUACUGACGAUGUCGGCGAGUGGAUUCCAUCGAUUUUCACACAGAAAAUCAACAUCAAAAAAAUCACGACAAUUUAGCAGCGUCAUGGUCAACCUGCCGAUCAACUAUUCACAGUGAAUAACCUCCAUUCGCAGCGGAAGCGACAAUGCGAAAACAAUGUCAUCAAGCCGGAGUACCAUCCAGGAUCUAUCAAGUAUCGCAUUCAAUUGCUUGCUAACUACCAUGUGCCCAACGUUCUGCUUGUGCGUUGUGAAAACCACUGAAGCCUGGCACGUCCACUGAAUUGAUCCCCAAGCUAACUAACCCAACGAUGUACCAUAUGGCCACAACCAUUAUGAAACUGCCAACCAAGGAAGAGGAACGGCGAAUGAUCGACUUCGAAUAAAAGUUCAACGAAAGGAACAAAAUUCCACCACUUGAAGAAAGUCCAAUAAAGUAACAAUCAAAUUGAACUUCACACCUGAAGAAGGACUGAAACCAGGCGAUGAUGUUACCCUUAGUUUCUUGAUGAAAUAUACUUUUGUGAAUACAUACACACGCCCGAAAAGAAAGAACGUCAAAAACACGCAUUAUCAUCGAAAGUUUUUGUUGGUCAAAUUGAAGCCUAAAUUUAUUUAUAUGUAUAUCUAGAAAUUAAUCUUUUUUGCAAACAACUUGUUUAUUUAUUUUGAGCUAUAGUGUAAAUUUUGUAUAUAUUGUAUAUUCUCCU
This is a long non-coding RNA of Eupeodes corollae, 1651 nucleotides long. RefSeq lists it as uncharacterized. NCBI's taxonomy places the organism in Eukaryota, Metazoa, Arthropoda, Insecta, Diptera, Syrphidae. The record is from RefSeq and is a predicted model, not a curated record. The transcript has 4 exons.